CUUCCUACCCAAGCACACUCCCAUCGUUUGGAAUGCCGAACCUGCUCGUUGCGUAACCUGAACAAUGCCUCUAAUGCCUCCUAACACACUAUUUCCACUCUUAUUUCUAUCCACCAUUUGUAGCGUCGUGAACGGUCAACUGGGAGAAUCUAGGCUGAGUGAAAGACCUUACGUCGUGUUUCAAAAUCAAAAUCUGGUUCUGCUCGUGAGUGUGUUUUCCGUUCUGCUGGUGGUGAUGAUCGUCAUGGCAGUGUGUGUUUACAAACCUGUGCGUAGACGGUGAAUCAGGCAGCCAUGCAGGAAGCAUCAUUUGGCACUGGAGGACACAAUACAAUGAGGGACAAUCGCAAGUGCUUCAUUCAGCCCCGCCUUUGUGUUAUGCGGAGUUCUGCUUCGGAAAGAGUGAAUGAAAGCAAGGCUAGACAUACAUUCCUCUUGUCUUAGUUAAGCCAUAAUCAUGAAAUCAGAAUUGGGAUCAAUUGGUUUUACAAGUGUUGCCCUCUUUCUUUCAUUCAGUUUGUAGGCCCACCCUAGCAUUAAUGCAGGCCUAAUUUGAUUUGUCGUUUCCUUUGAAAGAUGUGAGAUAUUAAUUUAAUCGAACAUAUUAGGGAAGCAGACUAGCCUAUCACGUAGAAUACAGGCGAGAUUUCUGUCAUUUGAUUUGCCAGAAUUCUUAUGCUGCUGUUCUCUCAUUUUUAUUUAACUUGUGCACUUUCACUACUUUGCGAGAAGAAUGUAGCCUACCUGUUCUUUAUCACUGUCUUAUUUUGGUUUAAGUAUUUAUUGCUCAAGGUUUAUUUUUUAUUUAUGAAUACCUUGUGUUUGAAUAAAUGUGGGAUGUGUUCUAAGAAAUUGGUAUAA
Molecule: long non-coding RNA, 861 nt
Organism: Sardina pilchardus (European sardine)
Lineage: Eukaryota; Metazoa; Chordata; Actinopteri; Clupeiformes; Clupeidae
Exons: 2
Source: RefSeq, a predicted model, not a curated record